Molecule: ribosomal RNA, 157 nt
Filed under: Balsamia pallida
Lineage: Eukaryota; Fungi; Ascomycota; Pezizomycetes; Pezizales; Helvellaceae
Description: 5.8S ribosomal RNA
Rfam family: 5.8S ribosomal RNA
About the family: 5.8S ribosomal RNA (5.8S rRNA) is a component of the large subunit of the eukaryotic ribosome.
Source: RNAcentral
ACUUUCAACAACGGAUCUCUUGGUUCUCGCAUCGAUGAAGAACGCAGCGAAUUGCGAUAAGUAAUGUGAAUUGCAGAAUUCAGUGAAUCAUCGAAUCUUUGAACGCACAUUGCGCCCCCUGGUAUUCCGGGGGGCAUGCCUGUUUGAGCGUCUCAUG